RNAcentral lists this long non-coding RNA (2869 nucleotides) under Bemisia tabaci. Its description in RNAcentral is "lncRNA ENSASIAIIG001559". The record is from RNAcentral. Lineage: Eukaryota; Metazoa; Arthropoda; Insecta; Hemiptera; Aleyrodidae.
CGCACGGCGCGGGUAGGAAACUCGAUACUUCCGUCGCACGCCGCGACAGCGCUACUAGUCGCUUUGUUUACAACCACCUCCCUUAUUUGAAAUUGAAAGUUGCGUCAUGGACCAAAAGAAUAAAUAAGGACCCCCAACUCCAGUUAGCGCUGACAUCAGCGCUGCCUGGCAGAGGGUGUAGGCAGAGGGGUUUCAAUAGGGAGUUGGGAGUCCUUAUUUAUUCUCUUGGUCCAUGGUUGCGUUGCGGCAAGUUCAAGUGAAGAAAGAAAGUGUGCGAUUCACAUGCUCGAUUUUUUCAACCUAAGUAUUUAUAAUAUUUGUAGAAAUUGUGGAGUUAUUUCGUAUGUUUUACUGCAUCAUGUGCACUGGUGUCGACUGGAGUUUACUCAUCGCUGAGAAUGACUAAGGUCCAUUGAUCUGGUUAGCUGGUGGUUUCAUCAAGAAUUGCCUCCGUCACCAUAAUGAAGGGCCAAAUUAUUGAGUGUGUUGAAAAAAGCUGCACCAAUUCAAGUCAGAAAUCAACUUUAAAAUUCUAUCAUUUCCCUCGUGUUGGAAAAACUAACCUAAACAGGUGUCGCCUUUGGGCAGAAUUUGCAUUUCCUGGUCAAGACUGGUCUAGUGCGGAAGCUCUUCAAAAAUUAUUCACUACACACAAGCAUCUGUGUGCUCUCCACUUUAAAGAUGAUUGUUUCCUUGAACAGAAUCCUGGCGCCUUGACGAGGUACUGCAUCCCAACCAUCAGAUCAAGCAGUGGAGUAUCGGAAAGGAACCUACAUUCCACAAUCAACAGUGUAGAUCAGCUAUCUCCAGCUUCCUCUAGUGAAGCCGAUGUUGAUAUCACAGAGCCGGUUCUCAAAGCAGCAAGAAGUGAGGCUACAGGUAUCACUAGUCGUGCAUCAAGGAAAACAACAGAAGUUAGUGCUGUAGCUAAUGCUGCUGCAUCUGUCAUGGAAGUAGAUGCCCCUGGUUGCGAGGAGAUAGAUGCGAAUGAAGUUCCUGAGACAAGUGGUACUCCAAAUGCUCAGACCCUGAGACGCGAAAGGAAUGCAACCUCCUGUUAUGAAACAGAUUUAAGGUCUGUGCCUCUUAAAUGUUCCUGUCUACUUGGACUUUAACUCAUACUGUGCUCCUCUUCAUAUGCCUAAUGUAAACCUGGUCAAACCUUUUCACACUUUGACAUAGUUCAGCUCCUGCUGCAUCCCUUAACAACCUUUUGCUACGUUUUCUGCAUGGGAAAAAUUUUCAGCAGAUUUUUCCUGUCCUGCGGGCUGAUUGUUGAAGUUAAUAGACAAAAAAGACCUAGGGAGUAUGGAGUGUUUAUAUCGGUCAAAAUAGGUGGUUUCUAUAGACUGUGGGAGAAAAAGAUGGACUAACUAUAGGGUCUCUCAAGAGUUGCCGUUAGUAAGUCUAUUAUCUACCUUCUUUGUCCAUUGCAACCACCUGCUCCUUCCAAUAGGAUCCCUCCAUAUCCCUUUUGUCUUCUUUGUCUAUAGCUUUGUCUAUCAAUUUCAACAGUAAGCCUGUAGUGCUGGCAGAGAGACUAGUUGUCAAAGGAUGCAGCAGGAGACCGGGCAAUGAUACAAUGAAAAUAAAGUCUGAAACAUCCAGUUCCGGAAAAUUGAGUUCAUUUUUGUUUCAGACUUGGUGAUUCAUGGUUUCAUUGAUUGAGCACCGGGGAGAGCUCGGGUAGUGGAGCUCGCAGUCACGACCCAAUCAUGCUGAUGAUUGGAACAACCGUCCAAACCGAAACAUCAGCUCAAACAUUGAAAAAGUUAUGAAGUAUCAAGCUCUUCCUUUGCCCAUCUCGGCAUAUUAUAUGAAACAAUCAAUUUUGAUUUCAGUGUAAGUAUUCGUUUAGCAGCCACUUCUUGGAUCAGUUGAGCUAAAAACGCUCGAAGCCCUCAAUCCGCACCUCUUCACGGCGGACUAGGUACUAUCGUUUUCAAAUCGCCCGGGCACCCAGCCAGUCGAAGAAGAUGGCGGUCUACCAUGGUAAUGUUUACAUUGCGUGAUUCCACCUGUGGGCCCCUAUUUCUGUGAAAAAUCAACGAAUUUCAAUUUGUUGAAAUUUAUUUGGGCUUAAGAAAUUUCACUUUCUAUCUCUGCAACCAAGUCAACAAAAACCAACAAAAACACCAGCAUUUCGCGCACGAGUUCCGAUGACGUCUCAUGAUUCCACCUGCGAGCUCCACCACCUGAGCUCUCCCCGGUGCUCAAUCGAUGGUUUCACCUGUAAUUGCAUUUUUAUUUAUAUUUCUAACAAAAAUUAAAAUGGAAACAAAUUCUGUAACAUUCUCAAGAUAUUAGUUCAUUAAUGAGUUCCUUUUAUUGACUGUCUAGGCUUGGAGAAGACGCAAGAAAAAAGAAACAAGAAGCAGAAGAAGAAAGAAUCCAGCAAGAAAAGGAUCAAGAGACCUAUCAUCAACCUAAAACACCUGUACCUUCAUUUCCAAUAGAUGUGCACUCUUCUCCUACAAAAAAAGAGGACGUUCAAAUUGGUACUUCUAACUUCUCUGAGUUAGUAACAAGUCAUAGUUUUGUUGACAAAACUCUACUUAUACAAGAUUUUGUAAAGUCAGGUAACAAAGCAACACUAAUUACAUGUCCCAGAAAAUUUGGUAAAUCUACUAAUAUGGACAUGAUAAAAACCUUCUUAGAAAUUGAAGUUAAGGAUAAUGGAGAACUAAUACCUAAACAAGAUAGAAAAAAUGAUAAGUUAUUUGCAAACCACACAUUAUUAAUAUCUAAGUGCAAAGAAUUUAUUCAAAAACAUCUAGGACAAUAUCCUGUUAUCUCUGUUAGUUUAAAAAUGUUAAAGGAAGUAAUUAUCGAGACCUGUUCAAGAAAGUACAAGUUGCAAUUAGUAGUA